This 489-nucleotide ribosomal RNA is filed under the name uncultured bacterium. RNAcentral describes it as "bacterial SSU rRNA". It matches the Rfam family "Bacterial small subunit ribosomal RNA", at positions 28 to 507 of the family's 1533-position model. The record is from RNAcentral.
GAUGAACGCUAGCGGCAGGCCUAACACAUGCAAGUCGAGGGGCAGCGAGGCGGAAGCUUGCUUCCGCUGUCGGCGACCGGCGCACGGGUGCGUAACGCGUAUGUAACCUACCUUAUACAGGAGGAUAACCCGGAGAAAUUCGGACUAAUACUCCAUAAGUAUAUUUUCGGCAUCGGAGAUAUAUGAAAGAUUCAUCGGUAUAAGAUGGACAUGCGUGACAUUAGCUAGAUGGUGAGGUAACGGCUCACCAUGGCGACGAUGUCUAGGGGUUCUGAGAGGAAGGUCCCCCACACUGGUACUGAGACACGGACCAGACUCCUACGGGAGGCAGCAGUGAGGAAUAUUGGUCAAUGGACGGAAGUCUGAACCAGCCAUGCCGCGUGCAGGACGACGGCUCUAUGAGUUGUAAACUGCUUUUGUACGAGAAUAACGGUAUCUACGUGUAGGUAAUUGAAUGUAUCGUACGAAUAAGGAUCGGCUAACUCCGUG